ACCAGACUCCUACGGGAGGCAGCAGUGGGGAAUAUUGCACAAUGGGGGAAACCCUGAUGCAGCGACGCCGCGUGAGUGAAGAAGUAUUUCGGUAUGUAAAGCUCUAUCAGCAGGGAAGAAAGAGACGAAAGUCUUGUGACAGUACCUGACUAAGAAGCCCCGGCUAACUACGUGCCAGCAGCCGCGGUAAUACGUAGGGGGCAAGCGUUAUCCGGAUUUACUGGGUGUAAAGGGAGCGUAGGCGGUUAGAUAAGUCUGAUGUGAAAGCCCACAGCUUAACUGUGGGAUUGCAUUGGAAACUAUAGAACUAGAGUGUCGGAGAGGUAAGUGGAAUUCCUAGUGUAGCGGUGAAAUGCGUAGAUAUUAGGAGGAACACCAGUGGCGAAGGCGGCUUGCUGGACAGAGACUGACGUUGAGGCUCGAAAGCGUGGGGAGCAAACAGGAUUAGAUACCCCGGUAAC
This 461-nucleotide ribosomal RNA is filed under the name uncultured bacterium. RNAcentral describes it as "partial 16S ribosomal RNA". It matches the Rfam family "Bacterial small subunit ribosomal RNA", at positions 330 to 794 of the family's 1533-position model. The record is from RNAcentral.